UAGUUAAAUAACAAAACUACUCGCCAGAGAACUACGAGCCACUGCUUAAAACUCAAAGGACUUGGCGGUGCCCUAGACCCUCCUAGAGGAGCCUGGUCUAUAAUCGAUAAACCCCGAUACACCUCACCCCUUCUAGCUUAUCAGUCUAUAUACCGCCAUCGUCAGCUCACCCCAACAGGGUCCAAAAGUGAGCAAAAUCAUGAAACCAUAAAAACGUUAGGUCAAGGUGUAGCAUAUGAAGGGGGAAGCAAUGGGCUACAUUUUCUAUAUUAGAACAUAACGGAUUGUCUAUUGAAACAUAGACAUGAAGGAGGAUUUAGUAGUAAAUUAAGAAUAGAGAGCUUAAUUGAAAUAGGCAAUGGGGUGCGUACACACCGCCCGUCACCCUCCUCAAU
This 395-nucleotide ribosomal RNA is filed under the name Pseudantechinus ningbing (ningbing antechinus). Its description in RNAcentral is "partial 12S ribosomal RNA". It matches the Rfam family "Bacterial small subunit ribosomal RNA", at positions 848 to 1410 of the family's 1533-position model. The record is from RNAcentral. Lineage: Eukaryota; Metazoa; Chordata; Mammalia; Dasyuromorphia; Dasyuridae.